UCCGACUUACGCCGGCAGUCUCGCUAGAGUCCUCGGCAUUACCCGUUAGCAACUAGCGACAGGGGUUGCGCUCGUUAGAGGACUUAACCCGACACUUCACAGCACGAGCUGACGACAGCCAUGCAGCACCUGUGCACGUUCCACCCUUGCGGGUGUCAUCCCUGUUUCCAAGAACUAAUCCGUGCAUGUCAAACCCAGGUAAGGUUCUUCGCGUUGCUUCGAAUUAAGCAACAUGCUCCACCGCUUGUGUGAGCCCCCGUCAAUUCCUUUGAGUUUUAGCCUUGCGACCGUACUCCCCAGGCGGCGCAUUUAUCAAUUUCUCUACGACCAAUACAGGGUCAGACCUGCACCGGUCUAAUGCGCAUCGUUUAGGGCGUGGACUAC
RNAcentral lists this unclassified non-coding RNA (384 nucleotides) under uncultured Phycisphaeraceae bacterium. RNAcentral describes it as "contains 16S-23S intergenic spacer region". The record is from RNAcentral. Lineage: Bacteria; Pseudomonadati; Planctomycetota; Phycisphaerae; Phycisphaerales; Phycisphaeraceae.